AGGAGGCAGCAGUGAGGAAUAUUGGGCAAUGGGCGAAAGCCUGACCCAGCAACGCCGCGUGGAGGAUGACGGUCUUCGGAUUGUAAACUCCUUUUGACAGGGACGAGGAAGGACGGUACCUGUCGAAUCAGUCACGGCUAACUACGUGCCAGCAGCCGCGGUAAAACGUAGGUGGCGAGCGUUAUCCGGAUUUACUGGGCGUAAAGGGUGUGCAGGCGGGCCGUUAAGUGGUGCAUGAAAGCACUGGGCUUAACCCAGUGAGGCUGUGCCAGACUGGCGGUCUGGAGUGCGCGAGAGGGCUGUGGAAUUCCGGGUGUAGUGGUGAAAUGCGUAGAGAUCCGGAGGAACACCAGAGGCGAAGGCGGCAGCCUGGCGCACAACUGACGCUGAGACACGACAGCAUGGGGAGCGAACGGGAUUAGAUACCCUGGUAU
This 434-nucleotide ribosomal RNA is filed under the name uncultured bacterium. RNAcentral describes it as "bacterial SSU rRNA". It matches the Rfam family "Bacterial small subunit ribosomal RNA", at positions 343 to 793 of the family's 1533-position model. The record is from RNAcentral.